AAAACGUUCUGAGUUGAGGCGCGAGUCCGACCCGCUACGGCGGGGAAGUGAUGGCCAUCAUGCUUCCUAGAAAAGCUCUAAACAUCAUAAACUAAUCAUGCCUGUACCCGAAACCGACACAGGUAGGGUGGUAGAGCAUACCGAGGGGCGCGAGAUAACUCUCUCUAAGGAACUCGGCAAAAUUGCCCCGUAACUUGGGAAGAAGGGGUGCCAGCCGCCGGGCUGGUCGCAGUGAAGAGGCCCAGGCGACUGUUUACCAAAAACACAGGUCUCCGCUAAGGAGCAAUCCGAUGUAUGGGGGCUGACGCCUGCCCAGUGCCGGAAGGUUAAGGAAGCUGGUCAGCGCAAGUGAAGCUGGCGACCGAAGCCCCGGUGAACGGCGGCCGUAACUAUAACGGUCCUAAGGUAGCGAAAUUCCUUGUCGGGUAAGUUCCGACCCGCACGAAAGGCGUAACGAUCUGGGCGCUGUCUCAGAGAGAGACUCGGCGAAAUAGGAAUGUCUGUGAAGAUACGGACUACCUGCACCUGGACAGAAAGACCCUAUGAAGCUUUACUGUAGCCUGGAAUUGGCUUCGGGUUCUGCCUGCGCAGCAUAGGUGGGAGGCAGAGAAGAUUUCCUUGCGGGGAAAUCAGAGCCGGCGGUGAGAUACCACUCUGGCAGAGCUAGAAUUCU
Molecule: ribosomal RNA, 673 nt
Filed under: uncultured organism
Description: bacterial LSU rRNA
Rfam family: Bacterial large subunit ribosomal RNA
Source: RNAcentral